RNAcentral lists this ribosomal RNA (496 nucleotides) under uncultured bacterium. RNAcentral's name for it is "partial 16S ribosomal RNA". It matches the Rfam family "Bacterial small subunit ribosomal RNA", at positions 30 to 523 of the family's 1533-position model. The record is from RNAcentral.
AUUGAACGCUGGCGGAAUGCUUUACACAUGCAAGUCGAACGGUAGAGGGGGCAACCCCUCGAGAGUGGCGAACGGGUGAGUAAUAUAUCGGAACGUGCCCAGUCGUGGGGGAUAACGUAGCGAAAGUUACGCUAAUACCGCAUACGAUCUAAGGAUGAAAGCGGGGGAUCGCAAGACCUCGCGCGAUUGGAGCGGCCGAUAUCAGAUUAGGUAGUUGGUGGGGUAAAGGCUCACCAAGCCAACGAUCUGUAGCUGGUCUGAGAGGACGACCGGCACAACGGGAACUGGGACCGGGUCCAGACUCCUACGGGAGGCAGCAGUGGGGAAUUUUGGACAAUGGACGCAAGUCUGAUCCAGCCAUUCCGCGUGCAGGAUGAAGGCCCUCGGGUUGUAAACUGCUUUUGUACGGAACGAAAAGGUCUCUCUUAAUACGGGGGGCUCAUGACGGUACCGUAAGAAUAAGCACCGGCUAACUACGUGCCAGCCGCCGCCGCCG